Molecule: long non-coding RNA, 1548 nt
Filed under: Sus scrofa (pig)
Lineage: Eukaryota; Metazoa; Chordata; Mammalia; Artiodactyla; Suidae
Description: lncRNA (ENSSSCG00025036842.1)
Source: RNAcentral
CCUGAGCCCCCUGGUGUCGCAGACCUAGGAAGCGACCGAUGAUGCUAAAAUGACUGUCCUCUGACUUACAUGUGUCCAGUGGGCCAUUUCUCAGGCCAGCCAUGGCUUGUCCAAGAUCUCUGAAGGCGAGGCAUGUCUCCCUGCAUCAUUCUCCCAAUUUCAUUAGAUGUGUCUUCUCCCACUUCACCUGUGUUCUUCUAGGUCUGGCUCUCCACCAGGGGCACCUCCCACCUGGGAAGAGAGGACAUACUGCUGGACUUAUUCCUAGCCAGCAGUGGGGGCAGAGCCAGGAUCAGGUCCAGGCCUGGAGAGGAAACCCAUUAACUCUGCUCUCACACCAUUGGUCAGAACUUGGUCACAUGGCUAUACUGGCAGCAGGGGAGUCUGGGAAACAUAGUCCAGCUGUGUGUCCAGGUCCCGGCUCUGAUCUGCCUAUCCCAGUGCGUUUGCUCCUUGCCAAAUGCUGAACUGAUGCUCAGAGCUGGGCUACCCAUCUGCGCCCUCUCUACUCUGGAUGUCUAACUGGCUGGCCACAACUUCCUCAUCUUACAGCCCUUAUUAUGCAAUAUCCACACCUGGGACCUUGGAUUGACAGAAGCAAGUGGUAGGUUCUGAGAAAAUCUGGUCCCGCUUUUGUGGAAAUUUUUGAGACAUGUAUCAAUGGGAACCCAUUCCCACUGAUAAACUAAUAGGUUAAACAUUUCUAAGUGGAGCUGCAGGGGCAGCCCUGUUUGUGUUAUUGGGACAUUCAUGGCUGUCUAGAGAUAGGAGAGAAGCUUAGCAGAAGGAGCCUGGCUGCUUCCUGAUGACCAUGCAGGAGUCUAUUUCAGGCUUUUUUUUUUUUUUUUUUUUUUUUUGGCUUUUAGGGCCACGCCUGCAGCAUAUGAAGGUUCCCAGGCUAGGGAUGGAAUUGGAGCGGUAGCCGCCAGCCUGCGCCACAGCCACAGCAAUGUGGGAUCCAAGUCACAUCUGCAACCUACACCACAGCUCAUGGCAAUGCCAGAUCCUUAAUCCAAUGAGUGAGACCAGGGAUCAAACACGAGUCCCCAUGAAUGCUAGUCAGGCUCGUUAACUGCUGAGCCAUGACGGGACUUCCAGGAGUCCUAUUUUAUUUAUUUUUUAUUUUUUUAUUUUUGGUCUUUUUGCUUUUUCUAGGCUGCUUCACACGGCAUAUGGAGGUUCCUAGGCUAGGGGUCUAAUUAAAGCUGUAGCCACUGGCCUACACCAGAGCCACAGCCACAGCAACGCGGAAUUCGAGCUGCUACAGGUCACUGCACCCGUGGCAUAUGGACGUUCCUGUGUUAGGGGUCAAAUUGGAGCUGCAUCUUCGACCUACAUUGCAAUUUGUGGCAACGCCAAAUGCUUAACCCACUGAGCGAGGCCAGGGAUCGAACUUGCGUCUUCACGGAGACUGUGUCGGGUUCUUAACCUGCUGAGCCACAACGGGCACUCCUUGUGUGUGUUAUUUCAUCGAGGUAGGUACACUCAUCCCAUUUCUCAGGGAAGAAAAUUGAAGUGGAGACAAUAAAGGGGUCUUUGAGCCCUGCA